UUAAUUAUUUAAUGGGAGCAAAUGAUUAUACUCUGUAUAGAGUUGUUCAGCUUAACUAAUGAUUGACCUUACAUGAUUAUGAAAUAAUUAUCAAGUCCAAGUCACACAUGAUAAACAUAGGUUAAUCUCUUGGUUUUUAAUCCUAUAUAACUUAUUAGCCAUUUAAUUUUGUUUAGUGAAAGUACUCAUUUAAUUUUGUAUAGUCGAAGUACUGUCUCUUAUAUAGGAAACAAUUAUGGUGUAAACAUUAUUUCAAGUUUGAAAGAGUCCUAUAUUACUUUUUAAAUGUUUACUUUUGAGUGAGUGUGUGAGCAGAAGAGGGCCAGAGAGAGAAGGGGACAGAGGAUCUGAAGCGGGUUCUGUGCUGACAGCGAGCCCGGUAUGGGGCUCAUACUCCCCAACCAUGAGAUCGUGACCUGAGCCGAAGUCGGCCUCUUAACCGAUUGAGCCACCCAGGUGCGCCCCAAGAGUCCUCUAUUUUAAAAGUUGCUUGUUACAAGCUGCUUCUCAAGGACCUUUGAUGCUUUAAAGGGUAAUAUCCUCUUAAAGAAUAUGGAUGUGGUUAGAUUUAAGCAUUACUGAUUGUUGUUUUGUUAAUGCUUUUCGGUUUUGGCACAUGGCCGAGAGGAGAGAGAAUGGGGAUAGAUAUGUACUUUGUUAAUGGUUUAAAAGUGAAUUUAGUUUUGGAAGUUAUUUUAAUGCAUCAGUGUAUAGCAGAAUGCCCAAGAAAUAAAGUGCAGCAGUAGGCUAUAAGUUUUUACAGGGUAUCUGUGCUAGCUUAAUGGAGAGACAUUUUAUUCCCAUAGAAGAGCAAAAGGGUUUUCAAGGAAACACUGAUAAAAUAACCUGUUUCUGUUGUGUUUUUGUUUUUUGAAGUAGGCUCCACGUGGGGUUUGAACCCAUGAUCAUGAGAUCAAGAGUUACAUGCUCUACUGAUUGAGGCAGCCAGGUGCUCCCAACCUGUUUUGUUUUUGUCUAAAAAGUUUGUCUCCACAUUUUAAUACUACUUUUGUAGAAGCUACUGAAACUAGGAAAACUUGGUUUUCUUUGUUUUGGUACUAGUUUAUGUCUUCUAACAUUCACAUAAAGGAGGGACUUUUCCUGAGAUUAUCAAAGAGAAUUACACUGAUCUUUUGUUUUUUUUAAGUAUAUCACAUCAUGACAUCAGUUUUCAGGUGGAACAAGUGAGCAUAUCAUGAUCAAGAAAACCUACAGGUUUCAGUGGAAGUGGGUUUAAAUAUCUGUCUUAAGGUACUAGAUACCCUGGAGUAAGAUCUUGAUCUUUAAGGAUACUUGGGCAUGUUUUCUCUAAAGGUCUUAAAAAGAAUACAACAAUAAAUGUUAAUCUAAAAAGAGGUAGAAACAUGGGAGCUUCAUUGUUACAUCCAAGAAUAACCCGUGCCUCUUUACCUCUUUGAAUUCAUAUCCUUUGAAGCCCUUACAGAUGUAUUCAUAAACCGAGAUUAUCUCAAGUUUACAAAUUUUAAUGUCUUUUCACUUUCAGAGGUAAAAUAGCAAUCUAUGCCCCUCUAUAAUUCCUCUAACAGUUUUAGGAUAGAGUUUCUUUUAACUCAAACUGAAUAUGGAAGCAGUUUUUUGCAAAAUUUUUGUGAUAUGGAAUUAGAGGUUUGGAAUGUAUGUUAAUAGUACCUAUAUAAAAAAUUGAGUAUUUAGCGUUUUUAAAUCCAUUCUAGGUGCGUGUGUGUUGACUAAAACUAAAAUAAUUUUUAAAAAUCUAGGUAGCUUUCCGUUUUUCUUUGAAGGAUAAUAUGUAUACUGGUAAUUCUUUUAUUAUCCUUAAGCCAGGAUCCAUUCUUUGCCUGCUGGGAGGCCAUGGGCCCACUUAACCUUUGCUGACAGUCUCACAUCUUCCUGUGGUUUAACUCAGGAGGUACUGGCAGGACAUGGGGAUCGGCAUUCGGUAUUUUCUUCCUGCAUAGCUUGCUCUUUGGAGAUGACUACAUCCCUGUGAGACCUACCACUACAGCCUCGCUGGUAGAUCUUCUCCCCGCCUUUAUUUUUUAAAGUUUAUUUUGAGAGAGAGUGCGUACACACUCGUGGGAGGGGCAGAGAGAGGGAGAAAGAAUCCCAAGCAGGCUCCGCACUGUCAGGACAGGGCCCAAUGUGGGGCUCAAUUUCAUAAACCGGGAGGUUAUGACCUGAGCCGAAAUCAAGAAGAGUCAGACGCUUAACCAACAGGGCUUCCCCAACACCCCUGGUAGUCUCUUUUUUCGUGCCGUUUAGCUCUUAAUAGGUGAAGGUAACAUUUCCCUGUUCAUCUAGCCUCACGGGUGGCAAUUGCUACACUAGCUGCCUCAGUAUUAUCUUGAAUCCCCUCUUCUCCCAAUGUUGCCCAGCAGUAGUUCUUUGCUAAGGUCUCUCCAUUUUCUUGCAUUUUCUUGCCAGGAUAAAAUGCAUUUUCUUGCUCUGAUAAAAGUCAACAGAAUACUCUUAUCCAAAAUCCUUUUCUUAAAGUCUGCCUUGCCUUGUACCUAUUCUAGUGUAUUAGAACAUCAGUAAAAGUGUAAAGAGGACUUAACUUUUUUUAAUCAUAGAAUUACUAUAGAAUGUUUCAGGUUGUCAAAAUAAUAAGGACAAACCAGAUUUUAGAUUUCUUAUUUUUUUAUUUUAUUUUUAAUUUAUUUAUUUUUGAGAGAGCACGAGUGGGGGAGGGACAGAGAGCAAGGGACAUAGGAUCUGAAGUGGGCUUCGCUGACAGCAGAGAGCCUAGCCUGAUGCAAGGCUCAAACUCAUGAACCAGGAGGUCAUGACCUGAGCUGAAGUCGGCCCCUCAACCAACUGAGCCAGGUGCCCCAUCAGAUUUCUUAUUUUUAAGUUGAGCAACACCUAACACUUCUUUCAAAGGUUUAUUGAAAAGGUUAUAUGAAUUAACUUACACAAGACUCUGAAGAUAGUACCUGACUGCCCUACAGAUGUGCUCCAUAAAUGUUUGUCCCCCUACCCUGUGGGCUGGCGUAUGAUAAAAUCUCCAAAAUCCAGGUAAACGUGGAAGAAUUAUACUAGGCACUGAGGAUUCAAAAUUUGUUUCCUAUUCUGCGGAAGUGGAUCCUCUAGAAAGGAAGAAAAGCAUGUAAAUUUAAGUUUUAUAAAUAGCAUUAAUACUCUUUCUACAGUAGUGAGAUUAUAGGGCGUGUAAAAAACAGUGACAAAAAGCAGAGAGCAAUGUCCAGCAGACACAUGUCCGUGUCUUCGGUUCCCAUGCCUCCUGCCUCUCAGGAUGCGUGGGUUUUGUGUCAAGAAAUAGUCACAUUUUCCAAGUAUGUACCUUGGUGAUUUUGCACAUUCUAGAGUAACAGGAAAAGGGCAAAGUAUAUUCAUUUAGAAGUUGAAUAAAUCCUUGGUAAUCAUGUUGGUGUAUUUUCCCAGUUAGAUAAGCCAGAAGCAUUUCACCACAUUGUUGUUCUUUUUCUUACAUUCAAGACUAUAGAUACUGUUGCUGGAAAUUUUACUGAGCCAGAAAAGGCCUUUUUGUUCUAUUAGCAUCAUGUUUUUCCCUUCAACCAAAGAAUUAGACUGCUUGUAAGUAGAAAUACCAUGCUGCAUGGUGUAACACUUCAUAAAAAGAACAUGUUAUGUAAACAUUAGCUGUCACCUGCCAGGCACUAUUCUAUGUGCCUUUUACACAGUAAUUUGGUUAAUCCUUACAGUGCCUUCAAAGAUGGAAAUUUGCCAUUUUACUGAUGAGCAACCUGAGACACACAGAUGGUAAGUGACUAGGAAAUGGCAAAGCUGGGAUUUGAACUCAACGUAGUUAGAAAGGCCAUGCUCUUUACCAUCAUACUACACUGCUGUGUUACUGUGUGUAGGAUAUGUGCUUCUAGUUAAAAUUUGCAUAUAGUUGAUUUUUAGGGUGCAAGCCCACUUUUUAAGUGUAAAAUUAUGAACUGUUAGUGAUGUUGCAUUUCAGAUAAAAGAUUUUAGUGGGCAUCAUUUGUAUUUAGAGAAGCUAAAUAAAAUUCUGUAUAAAUUUC
Neofelis nebulosa (Clouded leopard) is the source of this 3992-nucleotide long non-coding RNA. RefSeq lists it as uncharacterized. The record is from RefSeq and is a predicted model, not a curated record. The transcript is spliced from 2 exons. Lineage: Eukaryota; Metazoa; Chordata; Mammalia; Carnivora; Felidae.